UAGCUCACUGGUCGAGUCGGCCUGCGCGGAAGAUGUAACGGGGCUAAACCAUGCACCGAAGCUGCGGCAGCGACACUAUGUGUUGUUGGGUAGGGGAGCGUUCUGUAAGCCUGUGAAGGUGGCCUGUGAGGGUUGCUGGAGGUAUCAGAAGUGCGAAUGCUGACAUAAGUAACGAUAAAGCGGGUGAAAAGCCCGCUCGCCGGAAGACCAAGGGUUCCUGUCCAACGUUAAUCGGGGCAGGGUGAGUCGACCCCUAAGGCGAGGCCGAAAGGCGUAGUCGAUGGGAAACGGGUUAAUAUUCCCGUACUUGGUGUUACUGCGAAGGGGGGACGGAGAAGGCUAUGUUGGCCGGGCGACGGUUGUCCCGGUUUAAGCGUGUAGGUGUGUGUUCCAGGUAAAUCCGGUUCACUUUAACACUGAGGCGUGAUGACGAGGCACUACGGUGCUGAAGCAACAAAUGCCCUGCUUCCAGGAAAAGCCUCUAAGCAUCAGGUAACAUCAAAUCGUACCCCAAACCGACACAGGUGGUCAGGUAGAGAAUACCAAGGCGCUUGAGAGAACUCGGGUGAAGGAACUAGGCAAAAUGGUGCCGUAACUUCGGGAGAAGGCACGCUGACAUGUAGGUGAAGUGAUUUACUCAUGGAGCUGAAGUCAGUCGAAGAUACCAGCUGGCUGCAACUGUUUAUUAAAAACACAGCACUGUGCAAACACGAAAGUGGACGUAUACGGUGUGACGCCUGCCCGGUGCCGGAAGGUUAAUUGAUGGGGUCAGCGCAAGCGAAGCUCCUGAUCGAAGCCCCGGUAAACGGCGGCCGUAACUAUAACGGUCCUAAGGUAGCGAAAUUCCUUGUCGGGUAAGUUCCGACCUGCACGAAUGGCGUAAUGAUGGCCAGGCUGUCUCCACCCGAGACUCAGUGAAAUUGAACUCGCUGUGAAGAUGCAGUGUACCCGCGGCAAGACGGAAAGACCCCGUGAACCUUUACUAUAGCUUGACACUGAACAUUGAGCCUUGAUGUGUAGGAUAGGUGGGAGGCUUUGAAGUGUGGACGCCAGUCUGCAUGGAGCCGACCUUGAAAUACCACCCUUUAAUGUUU
This 1094-nucleotide ribosomal RNA is filed under the name Salmonella enterica. Its description in RNAcentral is "bacterial LSU rRNA". It matches the Rfam family "Bacterial large subunit ribosomal RNA", at positions 1138 to 2215 of the family's 2925-position model. Lineage: Bacteria; Pseudomonadati; Pseudomonadota; Gammaproteobacteria; Enterobacterales; Enterobacteriaceae. The record is from RNAcentral.